Molecule: long non-coding RNA, 1173 nt
Organism: Octodon degus (degu)
Lineage: Eukaryota; Metazoa; Chordata; Mammalia; Rodentia; Octodontidae
Exons: 4
Source: RefSeq, a predicted model, not a curated record
GCGGCCGCGCGAGCCUUGGCAGCCUGGGGUUCCGGGAGCGGAGCGCCGCGAGCGUGGGAAGCGCGGGCGAGCUCCGAAAGGCCCGGCCAGACGCUGCCGGCCCUGCGUGGCGCCCCCGUGAGGGCUCGCGCGUGGACACCGAAUGGGCUCCGUCGCAAGUGCUGGAGACAGGUUAUCCGCCCCAGGCCCGGAGCCGCAAGGUCCUUGUCUGUAAAACGAGACCCGAAGAACCCACCCCAUCGGCCUAGCCGCCUCCAGGCCGACUUCGCCCUACUCCUUGCCUCGUCUUGCUCCCGGGGAGGUCGCGGGAAGACGCGGGGCCCAGGAAGCGCGAGCAAAUGGACCUUCACAGAAGAUGCCAGUCGAGCUUGAGUGUGCCUCAUGAAACCCAGCUCGUGGCUGCAAGCGAAGGGAAGGGAUGGGUGUCAGAGGUGACGAGAUCAAAUGCUGGAGAAAACAAAACCUCUGCAUGGUGAAACCUGCGUAUAAUACACCUGCGUACUGGACAUGAAGAGCUACCCAGUGUACAGCAGCCGCCAGUGAGGGAGAAGGAGGUCACAGGCCAACCGAGGAGCCUGCAGCGAACAGCUACCUUAAAUGGUCAAACAAUGCAGAAGAGUAGUCUCGCUUUUGUUUCCAUGGGUAUUGCUGUGCACUUCCCAGCAGCCCCCUCCAUAGCACCAUUGCUUUGCCUGCUGCUUCUGGACACCCUGGACUCCAGCUGAGUGCUACAGUGUUGUGUGCUGUCAUACUGUACUGGAAGGAAGCAACAGCAUCUCUGUGACAGCGUCUGACAGAUGCUGUUCUGGCCACUUGUGUGAUCCAUUCACAUCUAGAAAUGUUCCUACUCCUCCCCUGACUCUCUGCUUCCUGACUGCUACGAGGUGAACAGGUCCUCUUGCAAGGCCCUCUGCCAUGUCACCCUGCCUCAGAGCCAGGAGGCUAUGAAUUGAAACCUCUCCAAACUAUGAGUUAAAAUAAGGCUUCAGGUUGGGGAUAUCAGGCCAUGCUAAGGUGAAAGGGAGCAAAGGUCACACACUGCUGGAUGUUCUACAUCUAGCAACUACUCCAGAUGGUGCAUAUCCAGAUUAUAUUACCCUGGAAUCCUACAGAAAUAAUGAAGAUUUCAUGUAUGCAUACUGCUUUUAUUGGGACUAAUCUGCAUUUGAAAAU